RNAcentral lists this long non-coding RNA (3142 nucleotides) under Malus domestica (apple). RNAcentral's name for it is "long non-coding RNA (MDOM_LNC001399)". The record is from RNAcentral. Lineage: Eukaryota; Viridiplantae; Streptophyta; Magnoliopsida; Rosales; Rosaceae.
UAUGGCAAGCAGCUUACACUGCUGGAGUGGUUCUUCCAACUCCUAUAACAACUUGCCAGUACUGGCAUAGGUCUUUGAACCCAAAGAAGCUUAUUGAUGUUGGGUUUUCAAGGCUUGGUGCUAGGAUGACUAUGAGCCGAACCAUAAAACUUUAUAAGCUACCAGAUUCACCUGCCACUCCUGGGUUCAGAAAAAUGGAACUUCGUGAUGUCCCUGCUGUUACUCGUCUGCUGAGGAACUACUUGAGCCAGUUUGUGGUCGCACCAGAUUUCGAUGAAAAUGAUGUCGAGCAUUGGCUUCUUCCGGAGGAGAAUGUGGUGGACAGUUACUUGGUUGAGAGCCCAGAGACUCAUGACAUCACUGACUUCUGCAGCUUCUACACUCUUCCUUCGUCUAUCCUUGGCAAUCAGACGUACUCAAUCUUGAAGGCUGCAUACUCCUAUUAUAACGUCACCACUAAGACUCCAUUGCUUCAGCUGAUGAACGAUGCACUCAUUGUUGCAAAACAGAAGGAUUUCGAUGUUUUCAAUGCACUUGACGUCAUGCAGAAUGAGUCGUUUUUGAAGGAGCUGAAAUUUGGACCUGGCGAUGGGCAACUUCACUACUAUCUCUACAACUACCGGAUGAGGAACGCGUUGAAACCCUCGGAGCUUGGACUUGUACUCUUGUAAUUUUUCCGGUCUUGGUUUUUGCGCUUCGAACUUGACAAAUCAUUCCUGUUUCUUAUUUUCCGUCCUUUUUUCGUGGUUAGCUGUUGUCUUUCAUUUGCCUUUGCUCCUUUGGACUAUCAUCAAAGAAUAUGAGAUUUUGCAAUGCAUUUUAGAGACCUAAAUGUUAUGGGUAUCUUACCUGUAAGCAAAUGCUUAUACAGUAAACACUGUUUGGUGUUUGCAGUUGAAAUGGUUAUUUUAGAGCAAGAUGGAAGACUCGUUUGGAUGUGCUUUUAAAAUGACUGAAAACGUUUUUAAAGAAAAUAUUUUUAGGUUUCAAACGCACUUUAAGUGUUUUUUGCAAAAAACAUCAAUUAUAUAAUUCUUCCAGGAAGAACUUUAAUUGUUUUUCCAGGAUUUACUUGUAUUUUUACCAAAAUUGAUUCCAAAAACAUUUUCAUAAAAAAUGGUUUCAGUUAUUUUAAAAGCACAUCCAAACGAGCUCUGAGUUUAUAUCUUGAACAUGUUUAUAUCUUGAACAUGUUUAUGCAUUUCAUUCAUCCUUCCUCGCAGCGUGAUGGCACGCGAUGGCAGGGAGAAGAAAUCGAGCCCAGGAUCUCGGGUACGAGUAAAACACUCUUCACUCUCUAAAAGCCAUCCCGAGGCACGAAUGAUAACAAAUUCCUAACAUUCUACUUGAGAAGGAUUUGGGUUAAGGCACCCAAUUAGGCAUCAAGCUCGUCAUUCAUGUAAGUUGACACACGAGACCUUUUGUUUACAGGUGAGGAUGACUAGACUGUAGUGCUAUAGUGGCGUUCGACAAAAAACAAAUCCACAAAACAAGGAUUGUCUACCCUCCACUUCCGGUGUCCUCCUCGUGCCCUCCUGUUUGUAUGAUCACGGUUAAGCCACGUCAAUAUUUUAUAUUACUAUUUAUUUUUAGCUUAUUAUAUAUAUAAAAAAAUAAUAUAAAAUGUUGACGUGGCUUAAUCGUAACCACACAAAACAAGAGGGCACGGGUAGGGCAUCGGAAGUAAAUGGCAGAUAAUCCUUGUCCAUCUAAUAAUUUAGCCAAAAGCUACCUUACCUGCAGCCCUUUAAGUAAAACUUGUGAUAUCAAAAGCCUGACAGUAUCUCCUCUCAUACGCAACUCAUCCAAAUGAGCUCUGAGUUUAUAUCUUGAACAUUUUAGAGACCUAAAUGUUAUGGGUAUCUUACCUGUAAGCAAAUGCUUAUACAGUAAACAUUGUUUGGUGUUUGCAGUUGAAAUGGUUAUUUUGGAGCAAGAUGGAUGACUCAUUUGGAUGUGCUUUUAAAAUGACUGAAAACGCUUUUAAAGAAAAUAUUUUUGGGUUCCAAAGACACUUUAAGUACUUUUUGCAAAAAACAUCAAUUAUGUGUUUUUUCAAGGAGGUACUUUAAGUGUUUUUCCAGGAUUUAUCUUCAUUUUUACUAAGGAUUGGUUCCAAAAACAUUUUCAUCAAAAAUGUUUUCAGUUAUUUUAAAAGCACAUCCAAAAGAGCUAUGAGUUUAUAUUUUGAACAUGUUUCUACAUUUCAUUCACCUUUCCCGCAGCAUGAUGGCACGCAAUGGCUGGGAGAAGAAAUCGAGCCCAGAAUCUCGGGUACAAGUAAAACACUCUUUACUCUCUAAAAGUCAUCCCGAGGCACGAAUGAUAACAAAUUCCUAACAUUCUACUGGAGAAGGAUUUGGGUUAAGGCACCCAAUUAGGCAUCAAGCUCGUCAUUCAUGUAAGUUGACACACGAGACCUUUUGCUUACAGGUGAGGACGACUAGACCGUAGUGUUAUAGUGGCGUCCGACAAAAAACAAAUCCAUAAAACAAGGAUUGUCUGCCCUCCUCAUGCUCUCUUGUUUGUGUGGUCACAGUUAAGCCACGUCAACAUUUUAUAUUACUAUUCAUUUUUAUCUUAUUAUAUCUAUAAAAAAACAACAUAAAAUGUUGACGUGACUUAAUUGGGUCUUUGAACCCAAAGAAGCUUAUUGAUGUUGGGUUUUCAAGGCUUGGUGCUAGGAUGACUAUGAGCCGAACCAUAAAACUUUAUAAGCUACCAGAUUCACCUGCCACUCCUGGGUUCAGAAAAAUGGAACUUCGUGAUGUCCCUGCUGUUACUCGUCUGCUGAGGAACUACUUGAGCCAGUUUGUGGUCGCACCAGAUUUCGAUGAAAAUGAUGUCGAGCAUUGGCUUCUUCCAGAGGAGAAUGUGGUGGACAGUUACUUGGUUGAGAGCCCAGAGACUCAUGACAUCACUGACUUCUGCAGCUUCUACACUCUUCCUUCGUCUAUCCUUGGCAAUCAGACGUACUCAAUCUUGAAGGCUGCAUACUCCUAUUAUAACGUCACCACUAAGACUCCAUUGCUUCAGCUGAUGAACGAUGCACUCAUUGUUGCAAAACUGAAGGAUUUCGAUGUUUUCAAUGCACUUGACGUCAUGCAGAAUGAGUCGUUUUUGAAGGAGCUGAAAUUUGGAC